CCUACGGGAGGCAGCAGUCGGGAAUAUUGCGCAAUGGAGGAAACUCUGACGCAGUGACGCAGCGUGCAGGAAGAAGGUUUUCGGAUUGUAAACUGCUUUAGACAGGGAAGAAAAAAGACAGUAGCUGUAGAAUAAGCUCCGGCUAACUACGUGCCAGCAGCCGCGGUAAUCCGUAGGGAGCAAGCGUUGUCCGGAUUUAUUGGGUGUAAAGGGUGCGUCAACGGAGAAGCAAGUUAGUUGGUAAAUCCCUCAGCUUAACUGAGGAACUGCAACGAAAACUACUUCCCUUGAGUACUGGAGAGGAAAGUGGAAUUCCUAGUGGAGCGGUGAAAUGCGUAGAUAUUAGGAGGAACACCAGUGGCGAAGGCGACUUUCUGGACAGUAACUGACGUUGAGGCACGAAAGUGUGGGGAGCAAACAGGAUUAGAUACCCCAGUAGUC
Molecule: ribosomal RNA, 441 nt
Filed under: uncultured bacterium
Lineage: Bacteria
Description: partial 16S ribosomal RNA
Rfam family: Bacterial small subunit ribosomal RNA
Source: RNAcentral